GGGAAUGGGGUGAUGACCUCCCGGCAAACGAUUCUACAGCUGGUAUCCUCACCUUGGCUGGGCUUUCUGGGUUAGGAUAACGCUGGGUGAUCCUAAUUAAAGCCCUAUCCAAGCUCAAACUUCACAACCAAACAAACCAGUUUUACAACACCCAGGAAUUUAAUUUGGCCUCACACUUGCAGCGGAAAAAGAAACACAAAAGAAGGAAAAAGCUGGCAGCUCAGCCAACAAGCAGCCGCCUUCUGGACACACUGCCAGCUUGAUCCAAUUAGUAAAUAUUAGUGGUCCAAUGACAGAUCUGAAGACAAAGGUUCAGAUGAGACCCAAGGUUCUUGACAGCAGUCGGGGAAAACCGCAAAAUUUCCAGCCCAGGACAUUCUACAAAACACCCGACCAGCACUCUUCAAAGCUGUCAAGGUCAUCAAAAACAAGGAACUUCUGAGAAAUGGUCACAGUCUAGAAGAGCCUAAGGACACAUGAUGAGUAAAUGUAAUGUGGCAUCUUGGAUGGGAUCCUGGAACAGAAACACAGCAAGGACAUCAGCAGGUCCAGGUCCGGGUCUGGCUCCUACCAGCAAUUCAGUUCCCUUGGACCCCAGUGAUUCCCUUCAGGCAGCUGCGUGGGACUCUGAGCCCAGAGCCUUCUCUUCACACGGCAGAAUGAUCACCGUGUUUGUCCUCAGCGGGAGGCUCCUUCCUGCAGCAGAAGGGAGGCCAUGCAUCCCCUUCCAUGUUGGUCAGCCAAGGCAGAGAAACCAUUCCAUCGAGGCAGUGGUGACAACAGGACCUCCGAAAGCAGUUCUUGAAUGGGGUCUAGAGACAGCACUCACUUUUCACUGAUCCUUGGCGAGAUGAUGGUCAUCAGUAAGGACAACGUAUUGAGUUUGCAUAUGAUUGAAUUCAUUUAAU
This is a long non-coding RNA of Balaenoptera ricei (Rice's whale), 908 nucleotides long. RefSeq lists it as uncharacterized. The transcript is spliced from 4 exons. The record is from RefSeq and is a predicted model, not a curated record. NCBI's taxonomy places the organism in Eukaryota, Metazoa, Chordata, Mammalia, Artiodactyla, Balaenopteridae.